GCCAGGUGUGGUGGUUCACGCCUGUAAUCCCAGCACUUUGGGAGGCUGAGGUGGGUGGAUCACCUGAGGUCAGGAGUUCGAGACCAGCCUGGCCAACAUGGUGAAACCCCAUCUCUA
This 117-nucleotide non-coding RNA is filed under the name Nomascus leucogenys (northern white-cheeked gibbon). Lineage: Eukaryota; Metazoa; Chordata; Mammalia; Primates; Hylobatidae. The record is from Rfam by way of RNAcentral.